This 28-nucleotide small RNA is filed under the name Bombyx mori (domestic silkworm). RNAcentral describes it as "piRNA piR-bmo-1593330". Lineage: Eukaryota; Metazoa; Arthropoda; Insecta; Lepidoptera; Bombycidae. The record is from RNAcentral.
CCACGAUGUGUCUAUUCUUGUUUGUUGU